RNAcentral lists this ribosomal RNA (468 nucleotides) under uncultured bacterium. RNAcentral's name for it is "partial 16S ribosomal RNA". It matches the Rfam family "Bacterial small subunit ribosomal RNA", at positions 28 to 507 of the family's 1533-position model. The record is from RNAcentral.
GACGAACGCUGGCGGCGUGCUUAACACAUGCAAGUCGAACGGAAAGGCCCUGCUUUUGUGGGGUGCUCGAGUGGCGAACGGGUGAGUAACACGUGAGUAACCUGCCCUUGACUUUGGGAUAACUUCAGGAAACUGGGGCUAAUACCGGAUAGGAGCUCCUGCUGCAUGGUGGGGGUUGGAAAGUUUCGGCGGUUGGGGAUGGACUCGCGGCUUAUCAGCUUGUUGGUGGGGUAGUGGCUUACCAAGGCUUUGACGGGUAGCCGGCCUGAGAGGGUGACCGGCCAAAAUGGGAACGAGAAAAGGGCCAAGAUCCUAAGGGAGGGAGGAGGGGGGAAAAAUGGAACAAGGGGGGAAGCCUGAAGGAGGAAAGGCGGGGGCGGGAAGAAGGCCUUUGGGGUGGAAAACGGUUUCGCCUGGGAAGAAGGGUGAGGGAAGGGAAAGGGUAAAGAAGCACCGGCUAACUACGUG